AUGGAAAGUAAUUUUCUUUCUGGAAGCAUACCUUCUACCAUUGGAAAGCUGCAAAACCGAUAUGUCCUAAAUCUAUCAAAGAACAAAUUAUCAGGUCAGAUCCCUCCCUCAGUCGGUGACAUUACUCAACUGGGCAAGCUUUAUCUUGAUGAUAACAACUUGAGUGGAAACAUACCUGAUAGUUUAGGUCAGUGCAAGGGACUUCUUGAACUAAACUUGUCUACUAACAGCCUUGAUGGGUCAAUACCAGUCAAACUUUUUGAUCGCCCUCCACUUUCCUUGGGUGUGGACUUUUCGUACAACAAGCUCAUAGGAGAAAUACAAUCAGAAGUUGGUAAUUUGGCAAAUCUUGCUCUUCUGAAUGUUUCCAACAAUAUGUUGUUUGGAACGAUUCCUGAAGCUCUUGGAAGCUAUCUUACUUUAUUGUUCUUGCGCAUGGAGAAAAACAUGCUUGAAGGGCAAAUUCCUCAAAGUUUCAGGAAGUUGCGGUCCAUCCAGCAGAUUAAUCUAGCUCGAAAUAUUUUAUCUGGUUCAGUGCCAGAAUUCUUUGGCGACCUCACUUUGUUGGACAAGCUGGAUCUAUCGUAG
This 588-nucleotide ribosomal RNA is filed under the name Triticum aestivum (bread wheat). RNAcentral describes it as "partial small subunit ribosomal RNA". Lineage: Eukaryota; Viridiplantae; Streptophyta; Magnoliopsida; Poales; Poaceae. The record is from RNAcentral.